Molecule: ribosomal RNA, 467 nt
Filed under: uncultured bacterium
Lineage: Bacteria
Description: partial 16S ribosomal RNA
Rfam family: Bacterial small subunit ribosomal RNA
Source: RNAcentral
GACGAACGCUGGCGGCGUGCUUAACACAUGCAAGUCGAACGGAAAGGCCUCUUUCGGGGGGUACUCGAGUGGCGAACGGGUGAGUAACACGUGAGUAACCUGCCCUUGACUUUGGGAUAACUUCAGGAAACUGGGGCUAAUACCGGAUAGGAGCUCCUGCUGCAUGGUGGGGGUUGGAAAGUUUCGGCGGUUGGGGAUGGACUCGCGGCUUAUCAGCUUGUUGGUGGGGUAGUGGCUUACCAAGGCUUUGACGGGUAGCUGGCCUGAGAGGGUGACCGGCCACAUUGGGACUGAGAUACGGCCCAGACUCCUACGGGAGGCAGCAGUGGGGAAGAUUGCACAAUGGGUGGAAGCCUGAUGCAGCAACGCCGUGUGCGGGAUGACGGCCUUCGGGUUGUAAACCGCUUUCGCUCAUGACGAAGCUUUGUGUGACGGUAGUGGGUAAAGAAGCACCGGCUAACUACGUG